UGCGGAGGAUCAUUAUUGAAAUUAUAGGUGAGGGUUGUAGCUGGCCUCUCGGGGCAUGUGCACGCCCGAGCCCUUAAUCCACACACACCUGUGAACCUAUUGUAAGGGCCCUUAAAAAAGGCCUUUACGUCUUAUCAUCAACCCAUCGUAUGUCUCAUAGAAUGUAAAUAUAUGUCCUCGCCUUAAAAAGCGUUGAUAAACUUAUACAACUUUCAACAACGGAUCUCUUGGCUCUCGCAUCGAUGAAGAACGCAGCGAAAUGCGAUAAGUAAUGUGAAUUGCAGAUUUUCAGUGAAUCAUCGAAUCUUUGAACGCACCUUGCGCUCCUUGGUAUUCCGAGGAGCAUGCCUGUUUGAGUGUCAUUAAAUUCUCAACUCUGAUCGAUUUGUUUCGACUUCGGAGCUUGGAUUUGGAGCGUGCUGGCGUCGGUCGGCUCCUCUUAAAUGCAUCAGCGGAAUCUAACGUUUCGGACGUCAGUGUGAUAAUCAUGUUGCGCUGUCUGUCUGAUCCGAAAGCCCGCUCAC
Molecule: ribosomal RNA, 524 nt
Filed under: Piloderma fallax
Lineage: Eukaryota; Fungi; Basidiomycota; Agaricomycetes; Atheliales; Atheliaceae
Description: eukaryotic LSU rRNA
Rfam family: 5.8S ribosomal RNA (bases 208-362)
Source: RNAcentral